RNAcentral lists this ribosomal RNA (425 nucleotides) under uncultured bacterium. Its description in RNAcentral is "bacterial SSU rRNA". It matches the Rfam family "Bacterial small subunit ribosomal RNA", at positions 354 to 796 of the family's 1533-position model. The record is from RNAcentral.
GUUGGGAAUCUUGCGCAAUGGGGGAAACCCUGACGCAGCGACGCCGCGUGCGGGAUGACGGUCUUCGGAUUGUAAACCGCUUUUCUCGGGGACGAUAAUGACGGUACCCGAGGAAUAAGCCCCGGCUAACUCCGUGCCAGCAGCCGCGGUAAGACGGAGGGGGCUAGCGUUGUCCGGAAUUACUGGGCGUAAAGCGCUCGUAGGCGGUCGCAUACGGCGGUGGUGAAAGCUCCCGGCUCAACUGGGAGAGGCCCGCCGCAACGGUGUGACUCGAGGGUGGUAGAGGCAGAUGGAAUUCCUGGUGUAGCGGUGAAAUGCGUAGAGAUCAGGAGGAACACCCGUGGCGAAGGCGAUCUGCUGGGCCACACCUGACGCUGAGGAGCGAAAGCUAGGGGAGCGAACGGGAUUAGAAACCCUUGUAGUCC